Helicoverpa zea (corn earworm) is the source of this 499-nucleotide long non-coding RNA. RefSeq lists it as uncharacterized. The transcript has 2 exons. The record is from RefSeq and is a predicted model, not a curated record. NCBI's taxonomy places the organism in Eukaryota, Metazoa, Arthropoda, Insecta, Lepidoptera, Noctuidae.
CACUGAGCUACGUUAGUGUCAACGUGCACCUGACCACAAUGUGUCGCCUCACUGCCUUUGUUUUGUUCCUUGCGCUUUCGUACGCGACUUGCAGCAUUAUCACUGACCGAGGCACGAAGGAUAUCCUCCUGCCUGAUGCAGAAAUAGAAGACAACAGCAUCGUCGUACCUGAGGUCCUGCCUAUCGAAGGAAUAGCACAAUUCAGUGCGCCAGACGCGAAGUGCGCCAAAGUUGGCGAAUUCUGCAUCAACCAUAAGGACUGUUGCAGUAACUCCUGUUUGACUUUCAUGAGGAGAUGUGUUUCAUAGUUUGAUCAAAGCCCAAUCUUGUGAGCUAAAAAUAUGAUGUACUUGCUUUGAAUCAGCUAUGGCAUUUUGUAACCCUAGAAGGAAGUGGAUGAUUCAGGUCAACAAAUAUUCAUCGUUGUAAAGUGACUAAUCUGUGUAUUGUAAUUACAGUAUUUAUCAUCAAUUAUGUAUUAAAGUUUAUUUGUAUCAAU